ACUGUUCAAGUUAAAAGAUGUCAAGAAGCUGCAGGCUAAUACUUUAUUAACUGUGACAAUCAGCUUUCUGUUUUGAUUCUUCAGAACCCCCUGCUCUGCCCCAAAUAUGUGCCACAGAGAGAGAAAGGAGCUGGUAAAUCAAUCUCCAGAAGUAAUUAAAAGCCGGAAAAAAGAAACCAUUCCACAGUUCAUGAUGGAGACCUUGAAAACUAGCAGUCAAUUUUGAUUCUGUUUAGCCAAUUAUCAUCGAAAUAUACAGGAUCUCUGAAAGUAAAGAAAAGUUGGAUUAAGAUCAUGUAGCCCUCACACUUACAAAAGCACCCAGUGCCAUCAUUUAAGUGAGCCAUAAAAACAUGUGUGCCACAUACCAGCCAUUAAAUAACCCAUGAGGAAAUUCUCCAACCAACCAACCAAAGAAACCAACAAGCAAAGCUAAGCAUGCCUACUCAAACGUCUCAAACUCAGUGUGAGCAUCACUUUAAGUUUUGCUUGAAUAAGCUCACAUACUUAUUAAUUCAUUUAGAAUAUACAAAUCGCUUCAGGGUACAGUACUGACAGAGCUCCAUGACCA
This 571-nucleotide long non-coding RNA is filed under the name Mus pahari (shrew mouse). RNAcentral's name for it is "lncRNA (MGP_PahariEiJ_G0002848.1)". Lineage: Eukaryota; Metazoa; Chordata; Mammalia; Rodentia; Muridae. The record is from RNAcentral.